GACGAACGCUGGCGGCGUGCCUAAUACAUGCAAGUCGAGCGAAGUUUUUCUGGUGCUUGCACCGGAAAAACUUAGCGGCGAACGGGUGAGUAACACGUAAAGAACCUGCCUCAUAGACUGGGACAACUAUUGGAAACGAUAGCUAAUACCGGAUAAUAGCAUUAACUGCAUGGUUGAUGUUUAAAAGUUGGUUUUGCUAACACUAUGAGAUGGCUUUGCGGUGCAUUAGCUAGUUGGUGGGGUAAAGGCCUACCAAGGCGACGAUGCAUAGCCGACCUGAGAGGGUGAUCGGCCACACUGGGACUGAGACACGGCCCAGACUCCUACGGGAGGCAGCAGUAGGGAAUCUUCCGCAAUGGGCGAAAGCCUGACGGAGCAACGCCGCGUGAGUGAAGAAGGAUUUCGGUUCGUAAAGCUCUGUUGUUAGGGAAGAAUGAUUGUGUAGUAACUAUACACAGUAGAGACGGUACCUAACCAGAAAGCCACGACUAACUACGUG
RNAcentral lists this ribosomal RNA (499 nucleotides) under uncultured bacterium. RNAcentral describes it as "partial 16S ribosomal RNA". It matches the Rfam family "Bacterial small subunit ribosomal RNA", at positions 28 to 507 of the family's 1533-position model. The record is from RNAcentral.